AAUAAAGUGCCUGAUAAAAGGGUUAUUUUGAUAGAAUAAAUUAUAUAAUUUAAAAUUAUCUUUAUUA
Molecule: transfer RNA, 67 nt
Filed under: Trichogramma chilonis
Lineage: Eukaryota; Metazoa; Arthropoda; Insecta; Hymenoptera; Trichogrammatidae
Also listed under: 4 other names
Description: tRNA-Ile
Source: RNAcentral